RNAcentral lists this ribosomal RNA (368 nucleotides) under Alpheus intrinsecus. Its description in RNAcentral is "partial 16S ribosomal RNA". It matches the Rfam family "Archaeal large subunit ribosomal RNA", at positions 1888 to 2320 of the family's 2987-position model. Lineage: Eukaryota; Metazoa; Arthropoda; Malacostraca; Decapoda; Alpheidae. The record is from RNAcentral.
UUGCCUGUUUAUCAAAAACAUCUCCUCACUGGACAGGUGUGAGGUCUAGCCUGCCCACUGACGUUAAGUUUAAGGGCCGCGGUAUUCUAACCGUGCGAAGGUAGCAUAGUCAAUAGUCUUUUAAUUGGAGGCUUGAAUGAACGGUUGGACAUGGGGAAUUCUGUCUUAGUACAAAGAUGUGAACUUGACUAUUAUGUGAAAAGGCAUGAAUAUGUUGGGGGGACGAUAAGACCCUAUAAAACUUGAUGAUUGGCGUGGAUUACUUUCGAUAUGAGUUUUAGGUAGGUUAACACGAUGGUCAUUGUGCUGGGGCGGCAGGAAUAAAACACUAACUGUUCUUAACACAUAAUAAUUAUAAUUAUAGAUUG